GAGUGUGGGGGGGACCUCCAGCCCCCCGGGGGGUCCCUGACUCUGCUCUGCCGCGCCUCCGGAUUUGAUUUCGGGCGUUCCUCCAUGGUCUGGGUUCGCCAGAGCCCCGGGAAUGUGCUGGAACACGUGGCAAGGAUUGACUAUGAUGGAGACACCUACUACGCGCCGUCAGUCAAGGACCGGUUCACGAUCUCCAGGGACAACGGGCAGAGCUCGGUGACGCUGACCAUGAACAGCCUCAAGGACGAGGAUUCCGCCAUUUAUUUCUGUGCCAAGAGUCCUGAUGGUGGUUAUGGUGUUGCUGACCGUGUUGACGGUUUCUGGCCUGUCCCCAUCGUGACCCGACCCUUGAAGGAUGGUGGGUACCGGGUGUAG
This is a non-coding RNA of Catharus ustulatus (Swainson's thrush), 375 nucleotides long. NCBI's taxonomy places the organism in Eukaryota, Metazoa, Chordata, Aves, Passeriformes, Turdidae. The record is from the annotation of a RefSeq genome assembly.